UCUCCCUGCAGACACACUGUCAGUGCCGCGCUGGUCCCCACAGAUCCCUCGCAGAGACCUCGGCAACUCCAUCAAGCACAGGUUUUCCACCAAGUACUGGAUGUCUCAGACGUGCACAGUCUGUGGGAAAGGAAUGCUUUUUGGCCUCAAGUGUAAAAAUUGCAAGUUAAAGUGCCACAACAAAUGCACCAAAGAAGCCCCGCCCUGUCACCUUCUGAUCAUCCACCGAGGAGGUAAGUAUUUAACGCUUCCUGCCCUGGGGUAGUAGUGGGGGUUCCUGCAGGCCAUCUGAGAUAGCUGUCCAUCCAGGUAAAUUUUGGAAAACCCCUUGAUCCUUAACCAUUGCCUGCCUCAUUUCUUUCCCUCUGACCCCCUCCUCCUGACAUCUGUCUCCUUAAUCCACUGCAGUGCCCGUUCUCCCUAUUCUUUGUCCUCACGCUGGUCUCCUUGAUAGUUUAGCCCCCAGAUUCAUCUCCCUUCCCUAAUUCUUUUCUCUCAUUCUUGUCCUCUCUCCCAAUUUUUCACUCUCCUCUCUUUCC
Long non-coding RNA from Bubalus bubalis (water buffalo), 539 nucleotides. RefSeq lists it as uncharacterized. The record is from RefSeq and is a predicted model, not a curated record. Lineage: Eukaryota; Metazoa; Chordata; Mammalia; Artiodactyla; Bovidae. The transcript is spliced from 3 exons.